Molecule: unclassified non-coding RNA, 376 nt
Filed under: uncultured bacterium
Lineage: Bacteria
Description: contains 16S-23S intergenic spacer region
Source: RNAcentral
UCCGGCUUAUCACCGGCAGUUUCUUUAGAGUGCUCAACUAAAUGGUAGCAACUAAAGACGAGGGUUGCGCUCGUUGCGGGACUUAACCCAACACCUCACGGCACGAGCUGACGACAGCCGUGCAGCACCUGUGCACGCUCCCUUGCGGGUCCCUUCGCUUUCACGUCGGUACCACGUGCAUGUCAAGCCCAGGUAAGGUUCUUCGCGUUGCAUCGAAUUAAACCACAUGCUCCACCGCUUGUGCGGGCCCCCGUCAAUUCCUUUGAGUUUCAGCCUUGCGGCCGUACUCCCCAGGCGGGGCACUUAAUGCGUUAGCUGCGUUACCGAGGGAGUUACCCUCCGACAACUAGUCGACAUCGUUUAGGGCGUGGACUAC